RNAcentral lists this unclassified non-coding RNA (332 nucleotides) under soil metagenome. RNAcentral describes it as "partial contains 5.8S ribosomal RNA, internal transcribed spacer 2, and large subunit ribosomal RNA". The stretch from base 3 to 120 matches the Rfam family "5.8S ribosomal RNA", at positions 37 to 154 of the family's 154-position model. The record is from RNAcentral.
GGUGAAGAACGUAGCAAAAUGCGAUAAGUAAUGUGAAUUGCAGAAUUCAGUGAAUCAUCGAAUCUUUGAACGCACAUUGCGCCCGCCAGUAUUCUGGCGGGCAUGCCUGUUCGAGCGUCAUUUCAACCCUCAAGCACAGCUUGGUGUUGGGACUCGCGUUAAUUCGCGUUCCUCAAAUUGAUUGGCGGUCACGUCGAGCUUCCAUAGCGUAGUAGUAAAACCCUCGUUACUGGUAAUCGUCGCGGCCACGCCGUUAAACCCCAACUUCUGAAUGUUGACCUCGGAUCAGGUAGGAAUACCCGCUGAACUUAAGCAUAUCAAUAAGCGGAGGA